This is a long non-coding RNA of Drosophila montana, 448 nucleotides long. RefSeq lists it as uncharacterized. Lineage: Eukaryota; Metazoa; Arthropoda; Insecta; Diptera; Drosophilidae. The transcript has 3 exons. The record is from RefSeq and is a predicted model, not a curated record.
GCUCCGACGUUCAAACACCGAAGGCAUAAAGGUUUGCUGAACACACUUAGAUAGCUACGUUUUUUGUGUCUGCUUUUCCUACAAAUUUCAAACGACGUUUUCCCCCUAGUUUUCCCGUCUUAGUGCUGAGCCAAAAGGAAGUUUCUGUGCAAAUUACAGCCUCAAGAUUUGCAGUCCGUCAGUCGAGCAGUAAAAGCUCAUUUGUAUAUAUAAAUUUAUAUUACUUACCCAAAAAUCCACAUUAUGUUAUUGACAUCUAUUAGCAGGAAACUUUUCCAAAUACACAUCACUACAAGAAGAAGAGAAAGAGGGAACGAAUUAAGAUUUAGAGCUAGGAUGACCAAAUUUGAAAUAAAGAUGAGCUGCUGUUGAGCUCCUUAUUAUAUUGAUCCAAGUUUAACGCCCGUUGUAGUGGGGCAAAUCGGAAAAAAUUUGUUGCUCGCUUUAA